Molecule: ribosomal RNA, 254 nt
Filed under: uncultured bacterium
Lineage: Bacteria
Description: partial 16S ribosomal RNA
Rfam family: Bacterial small subunit ribosomal RNA
Source: RNAcentral
UACGUGAGGUGCGAGCGUUGUCCGGAAUUAUUGGGCGUAAAGAGCUUGUAGGCGGUUUGUCGCGUCUGCUGUGAAAAUCCGGGGCUCAACCCCGGACUUGCAGUGGGUACGGGCAGACUAGAGUGUGGUAGGGGAGACUGGAAUUCCUGGUGUAGCGGUGGAAUGCGCGGAUAUCAGGAGGAACGACCAAUAGCGAAGGCAGCUCGCUGGGACGUCACUGACACUGAGGCGCGAAAGCGUGGGGAGCGAACAGG